Molecule: ribosomal RNA, 468 nt
Filed under: uncultured bacterium
Lineage: Bacteria
Description: partial 16S ribosomal RNA
Rfam family: Bacterial small subunit ribosomal RNA
Source: RNAcentral
GACGAACGCUGGCGGCGUGCUUAACACAUGCAAGUCGAACGGAAAGGCCCUGCUUUUGUGGGGUGCUCGAGUGGCGAACGGGUGAGUAACACGUGAGUAACCUGCCCUUGACUUUGGGAUAACUUCAGGAAACUGGGGCUAAUACCGGAUAGGAGCUCCUGCUGCAUGGUGGGGGUUGGAAAGUUUCGGCGGGUGGGGAUGGACUCGCGGCUUAUCAGCUUGUUGGUGGGGUAGUGGCUUACCAAGGCUUUGACGGGUAGCCGGCCUGAGAGGGUGACCGGGCACAUGGGGACUGAGAGACGGCCCAGACUCCUACGGGAGGCAGCAGUGGGGAAUAUUGCACAGUGGUCGGAAGCCUGAUGCAGCGACGCCGCGUGCGGGAUGACGGCCUUCGGGUUGUGAACCGCUUUCGCCUGUGACGAAGCGUGAGUGACGGUAAUGGGUAAAGAAGCACCGGCUAACUACGUG